GACGAACGCUGGCGGCGUGCUUACACAUGCAAGUCGAACGGAAAGGCCCUGCUUUUGUGGGGUGCUCGAGUGGCGAACGGGUGAGUAACACGUGAGUAACCUGCCCUUGACUUUGGGAUAACUUCAGGAAACUGGGGCUAAUACCGGAUAGGAGCUCCUGCUGCAUGGUGGGGGUUGGAAAGUUUCGGCGGUUGGGGAUGGACUCGCGGCUUAUCAGCUUGUUGGUGGGGUAGUGGCUUACCAAGGCUUUGACGGGUAGCCGGCCUGAGAGGGUGACCGGCCACAUUGGGACUGAGAUACGGCCCAGACUCCUACGGGAGGCAGCAGUGGGGAAUAUUGCACAAUGGGCGGAAGCCUGAUGCAGCAACGCCGCGUGCGGGAUGACGGCCUUCGGGUUGUAAACCGCUUUCGCCUGUGACGAAGCGUGAGUGACGGUAAUGGGUAAAGAAGCACCGGCUAACUACGUGCCAGCAGCCGCGGUGAUACGUAGGGUGCGAGCGUUGUCCGGAUUUAUUGGGCGUAAAGGGCUCGUAGGUGGUUGAUCGCGUCGGAAGUGUAAUCUUGGGGCUUAACCCUGAGCGUGCUUUCGAUACGGGUUGACUUGAGGAAGGUAGGGGAGAAUGGAAUUCCUGGUGGAGCGGUGGAAUGCGCAGAUAUCAGGAGGAACACCAGUGGCGAAGGCGGUUCUCUGGGCCUUUCCUGACGCUGAGGAGCGAAAGCGUGGGGAGCGAACAGGCUUAGAUACCCUGGUAGUCCACGCUGUAAACGGUGGGUACUAGGUGUGGGGUCCAUUCCACGGGUUCCGUGCCGUAGCUAACGCUUUAAGUACCCCGCCUGGGGAGUACGGCCGCAAGGCUAAAACUCAAAGGAAUUGACGGGGCCCCGCACAAGCGGCGGAGCAUGCGGAUUAAUUCGAUGCAACGCGUAGAACCUUACCUGGGUUUGACAUGGAUCGGGAGUGCUCAGAGAUGGGUGUGCCUCUUUUGGGGUCGGUUCACAGGUGGUGCAUGCCUGUCGUCAGCUCGUGUCGUGAGAUGUUGGGUUAAGUCCCGCAACGAGCGCAACCCUUGUUCACUGUUGCCAGCACGUUAUGGUGGGGACUCAGUGGAGACCGCCGGGGUCAACUCGGAGGAAGGUGGGGAUGACGUCAAGUCAUCAUGCCCCUUAUGUCCAGGGCUUCACGCAUGCUACAAUGGCUGGUACAGAGAGUGGCGAGCCUGUGAGGGUGAGCGAAUCUCGGAAAGCCGGUCUCAGUUCGGAUUGGGGUCUGCAACUCGACCUCAUGAAGUCGGAGUCGCUAGUAAUCGCAGAUCAGCAACGCUGCGGUGAAUACGUUCCCGGGGCU
RNAcentral lists this ribosomal RNA (1345 nucleotides) under uncultured bacterium. RNAcentral describes it as "partial 16S ribosomal RNA". It matches the Rfam family "Bacterial small subunit ribosomal RNA", at positions 28 to 1381 of the family's 1533-position model. The record is from RNAcentral.